This 273-nucleotide long non-coding RNA is filed under the name Capsicum annuum. RNAcentral's name for it is "long non-coding RNA (CANN_LNC015543)". Lineage: Eukaryota; Viridiplantae; Streptophyta; Magnoliopsida; Solanales; Solanaceae. The record is from RNAcentral.
GGUAUGAAGUAUUCAUGAUGAAGGGGUCAUUGAUUGAUUAUUCUUGAAGGGAAUUUACAAUUUGGUAUUGGAAGUUGUAUAGUCACAGUCUCGGGGUCAGCGUGGAUUUGCACGUCUGGUUUUCGACAAAUGUUCGGUAAUUUCCUACUUUAUGUAGUCAACAACAUACCUGGUGUAGUUCCACAUAGUGAGGUGGGGAGGGUAGUUCCUUCCUUAUGUAGUAUUGGAAUAAUAUAGGCUUGAACAUGUAUGGAGUAUUUCAUGUAGUUCGCC